This 253-nucleotide ribosomal RNA is filed under the name uncultured bacterium. RNAcentral describes it as "partial 16S ribosomal RNA". It matches the Rfam family "Bacterial small subunit ribosomal RNA", at positions 524 to 776 of the family's 1533-position model. The record is from RNAcentral.
UACGUAGGGUGCAAGCGUUAUCCGGAAUUAUUGGGCGUAAAGAGCUCGUAGGCGGUUUGUCGCGUCUGCUGUGAAAACUGGAGGCUCAACCUCCAGCCUGCAGUGGGUACGGGCAGACUAGAGUGCAGUAGGGGAGAUUGGAAUUCCUGGUGUAGCGGUGGAAUGCGCAGAUAUCAGGAGGAACACCGAUGGCGAAGGCAGAUCUCUGGGCCGUAACUGACGCUGAGGAGCGAAAGCAUGGGGAGCGAACAGG